UGUUUCCUUCCGUCCACCCACGAGACGCACUCUUCUAUUCCACUUGAAGGAAGUGGAUCUCGGUUAGCCUCUUCCAGAUCCCCCCAUCCUCCACUCUCCCCAUCCAUGGUCGCCGCCACUGCACGAAAAAGGCUGGCGGCCACCGCAACGUCGCCAUCCACGGCCAUCUGCCGCAGCAACCACGGCCAUCCACUCUCCCCAUCCAUGGUCGCCGCCACUGCACGAAAAAGGCUGGCGGCCACCGCAACGUCGCCAUCCACGGCCAUCUGCCGCCGCAACAAUAGUCUCAUCCCUUAGGCGGGGACGGCCCUGAAGGCGGACCUUUGUGCAGCGUCGCCUCUGCGGAUGGUGGCCAUCUUGUUGCAAGGGGAUAACAGGUCCCUCGUGUGUGUUCCAAAGCUGGAUGGGCCUGGCGCAAUGAGUACGGACGUGCUCGAGGUGGAGUUUCGCCGCAUCGGACGGGCGGGAUCUCAUCCUCUCUUUUUUUGAGGGAGAUCUCAUCCUCGAUGCAUUUUGUGGAGGCCAGGGGCUGCGUGCCUGCGAAGAUAUACUAACGGGCCCAUGCAUCUGGGCUGCUAUGCCAUACUAAGCCUGGUGCCAUCCAUUUGUCUCCACUGGUGACACUUCCGUCGCCUUGUCAUAUUCACCGACCUCGGCAGGCUGUGAGCCACAUGUACCACCAGGUAGUUUAUGUUCCAUGGAGUCUGCAUCAGUACAGAGAAGUUGACGUUCAGGAGCAUUGGUCUUGGUGAUAUGGUUGCGAAAAUGGUCUCUCCCUCUAAUGACUUUGGUGUGUACGGCCAGAUCUAUGGCCACAAAGGAACGGGGAUGAACCUGUUUGAUGUAUGACGAGCGCCACCAGUGCUUGAGGAGUUGGAGAGUAGCUUAGUGUUUCGUCCGAUGUUUGUAAUUUGUAAGUUUUUAGCGAUCUUUUUUAGCAUUCUAGAUAGACCACAGUUGCCGGCCAAAAUUCUACACAGUAGCAUCCGGUUGGAUUAGCUAUCGGGCGAGUGUUGUUCAGCCGAACAUCGUCCAUAAGUACUUUUGAUCUUUUUUUCUGUACAUGCGUAUUUCCCGGGGCUUUUAUGUAACAAUUACUCAUUUAAUAAAUAAAGAUACAUUUUUUUACAAAACA
Molecule: long non-coding RNA, 1135 nt
Organism: Triticum dicoccoides
Lineage: Eukaryota; Viridiplantae; Streptophyta; Magnoliopsida; Poales; Poaceae
Exons: 2
Source: RefSeq, a predicted model, not a curated record